This 919-nucleotide long non-coding RNA is filed under the name Sinocyclocheilus grahami. RNAcentral describes it as "lncRNA (ENSSGRG00000020254.1)". The record is from RNAcentral. Lineage: Eukaryota; Metazoa; Chordata; Actinopteri; Cypriniformes; Cyprinidae.
GGUGCUGUGGGACCUCUGCACAAGCUGUCACAUGACCUUGGCGAAGGCGGGGCCAUGCGAAGAGGGGGUGGGGCCUGAACAAGGUUUGAGAAGCAGGUGCUGUGCCGAGAGCCCCGACUGUGGCCCUUCCGCUUUUACCAAGUACUGUGCCAACAUUAAUGCGGAUACAGCCAGCGUCACAGCAGGCGCAGGCAUAGACAGCACUGUACACCAGAGGAAAUUCUGUCGUGUUGGCAUCUCACAGACGCUACCUCGGCCCAGUGGCAUUUUAAGAAACGGCCGUGAGUAUAUGUGUGAUCUGCCCCCUGGUGGCUGGACUGCAGAGUACAUGUGGAAUGGCAGCGCAAGGCAGAGCCACACGGGUCCCAUCUGCAUACCCUUCCCUCGUCAUCCUAGAGAAGCCGGCUGCUUUCGGAACCCUGUGCCACCUGUAGGUGUCAGGGGAAACCUCACUACUGCUGCCAAGUGUCAGAGCUCCUCGGCUGGUCUGGCCGUGCGUGUGUGUGGUUCCCCGGGGCUUGAUGGACGUGUAUACACCUCUGAACUGUACCCUCCGCCGCAUCGUCUCGAUGUCGACUGCGACGUGGCCGACGCAUCCAUUUUUGACUUCUCUUCUGUAACAACCUCUAGCCCAGAUGAAACUCUGAAUCGGCUCAGGGGAGCGGAAGCACGUGAUGAUGAGGAUGAUGAUGAAGAGGACAGCGAGGUUCCAGUUCUCCUCAAACCUUCAUACACUCACAACGCUUCAGCCGUGCAGGCAGGGGGAGGAUUAUGCAUGGCGUGGCAGAUUCCCAAACGGGCUCCUAUUCCUGCUGAGGUUCGCAUUGGGGGGCAAGGAAAAACACGUGCCCCAAAACCACACAGAAUCCUCAGCAGUGCCUUCCGGCCGAUUUGGGACCAGACUUACUCACAGGUUUGA